Molecule: long non-coding RNA, 227 nt
Filed under: Panax ginseng (ginseng)
Lineage: Eukaryota; Viridiplantae; Streptophyta; Magnoliopsida; Apiales; Araliaceae
Description: long non-coding RNA (PGIN_LNC002452)
Source: RNAcentral
GGAAUCUUAAUAAAAAGAAUUAGUUCAUGACAGAAAUAAAAACCACAAAUAAUUGAUAAAUCAUCCUUAAUGAGUUACACAAUUUUUAAAAGAAUAAAGAAGAAGAAGAAGAACUCCAAGCUGAAAGCCUUCAGAUCUGCUCUUGCUCCUUUGAUCAAUCCCCAAUUGUGUAGAAUAGCCCCAAUUCAAUGUAAAGAAUCAAUUUAUAUUUUUCUGCCCAAUUCCAA